Non-coding RNA from Oncorhynchus mykiss (rainbow trout), 363 nucleotides. NCBI's taxonomy places the organism in Eukaryota, Metazoa, Chordata, Actinopteri, Salmoniformes, Salmonidae. The record is from RefSeq and is a predicted model, not a curated record.
GCGCAUGUGCAGAACUUUUAUUUUGACAUGAGGUAAUCAGGAGAAGAGGUGGGUCUACAACAGACCAGCUUUGGAAAGUCUGUUUAAUAAUAUGUUCCUUUAAAUAUUUUGUAUCACAUUUCCCCAUCAUAAUGACCAAGCCUCCUGCCCACUGGCACAGAGAAGAGAGAUACACGUCAAGACACAGCAGUGGUCAAGGAACGACUCGGAGUGAACAGUAGCAUGCUGCUUGCGUGUCUCUUAAUUUGACAUAAGGCCUUUUGCCAAGCCUCUCCCUGUCUGACUCACUCACCCCGUACCUCUCGCUCACUUUCCAUAUUUCUGUAUAUAAAUAGAUGAUAGGAAUAAAAUAAUUUACCCCCC